Molecule: ribosomal RNA, 1880 nt
Filed under: bioreactor metagenome
Description: bacterial LSU rRNA
Rfam family: Bacterial large subunit ribosomal RNA
Source: RNAcentral
AUGGAGGACCGCGCCAGUUUCUAUUGAAAAAGAUUUGGAUGAGCUGUGGAUCGGAGUGAAAAGCUAAUCGAGUGCGGUGAUAGCUGGUUCUCCCCGAUAUGCAUUGAGGGGCAGCCUUACGGAAUUGAGAUAUGGGGGUAGAGCUCUGGAUGGAUGCGGGGGACUGGGGUCCUACCAAAUUCAACCAAACUUCGAAUACCAUAUCUGUAUUGCGGGAGUGAGACUACGGGUGAGAAGGUCCGUGGUCGUGAGGGAAACAGCCCAGACCGUCAGCUAAGGUCCCUAAGUGUAUGCUAAGUGUGGCAAGGAUGUGAGAGUGCCUGGACAGCCAGGAGGUUGGCUUAGAAGCAGCCACCCUUUAAAGAGUGCGUAACAGCUCACUGGUCGAGGACUUUUGCGCCGAAAAUGUAGGGGGCUAAGCAUACUGCCGAAGCUGCGGGAUAUGUGCUAGUGAGUAUAUAUCGGUAGGGGAGCGUUCCAUACGGGGUGAAGCCGAACCGCGAGGUCGCGUGGACUGUAUGGAAGUGAGAAUGUCGGCAUGAGUAACGCGAAGUGCGUGAGAAACGUACUCACCGAAAGCCCAAGGUUUCCUGGGGAAGGUUCAUCCUCCCAGGGUUAGGCGGGACCUAAGACGAGGCUGAAGAGCGUAGUCGAUGGACAGCAGGUAGACAUUCCUGCCCCGGCCUAUGCCGUUAUAACUGAAGGGGUGACACAGAAAGCUAGGUGCUCCGGGUGAUGGAAUACCCGGUCCAAGGAUGUAGGAAGGCGCUUCAGGCAAAUCCGAGGCGCUAUUUCUGAGGUCUGAUGGGGAGAUCCCACGGGAUCGAAGUCAUUGAAGCUCGGCUGUCGAGAAAAGCCUCUAGGGAGGUAUAGGCUGCCCGUACCCGAAACCGACGCAGGUGGGCUAGCUGAGAAGGCUCAGGUGAGCGGGAAAACCCUCGUUAAGGAACUCUGCAAGUUGACCCCGUAACCUAGGGAGAAGGGGUGCCACUCUGGUGAAGUGUAAAUCAUAUGGAGCUAAGGGUGGUCGCAGAAACCAGGCUCAGGCGACUGUUUACUAAAAACACAGGUCUCUGCAUAAGGCGUAAGCCGAAGUAUAGGGACUGACACCUGCCCGGUGCUGGAAGGUUAAAUGGAGAGGUUAGCGCAAGCGACGCUUUGAAAUGAAGCCCCAGUAAACGGCGGCCGUAACUAUAACGGUCCUAAGGUAGCGAAAUUCCUUGUCGGGUAAGUUCCGACCUGCACGAAUGGUGUAACGAUCUGAGCACUGUCUCAACGAGGGACCCGGUGAAAUUGUGGUACUGGUAAAGACGCCAGUUACCUGUGGUGGGACGGAAAGACCCCGUGGAGCUUUACUGUAGCCUGAUAUUGGAUUUUGGUCUGUCAUGUACAGGAUAGGUGGGAGGCAUAGAACGCAGGGCGUCAGCUUUGCGGGAGCCGCUGUUGGGAUACCACCCUUGACAUGCUGAAGUUCUAACUGUUUAGUCUGAAUCGGCUGGCAGGACAGUGUCAGGUGGGCAGUUUGACUGGGGCGGUCGCCUCCUAAAGAGUAACGGAGGCGCGCAAAGGUCACCUCAGGGCGUAUGGAAACCGCCCAUAGAGAGCGCAAAGGUAUAAGGUGGCUUGACUGUGAGAGAGACGUUUCGAACAGGAACGAAAGUUGGUCUUAGUGAUCCGGCGGUACCGAGUGGAAGGGCCGUCGCUCAACGGAUAAAAGCUACCCCGGGGAUAACAGGCUGAUCCUGCCCGAGAGUUCCUAUCGACGGCAGGGAUUGGCACCUCGAUGUCGGCUCGUCGCAUCCUGGGGCUGAAGCAGGUCCCAAGGGUUGGUCUGUUCGCCCAUUAAAGCGGUACGUGAGCUGGGUUUAGAACGUCGUGAG